Molecule: transfer RNA, 69 nt
Filed under: Taenioptynx brodiei brodiei
Lineage: Eukaryota; Metazoa; Chordata; Aves; Strigiformes; Strigidae
Description: Glaucidium brodiei brodiei tRNA-Cys
Source: RNAcentral
GGCCUUGUGGUGAAACGUUCAUGUUGAGUUGCAAACUCAUUGAUGUGCAUUAAAAGUGCGCCGAGGCCU